CUGGCGGCAGGCCUAACACAUGCAAGUCGAGCGGAUGAAGGGAGCUUGCUCCCUGAUUCAGCGGCGGACGGGUGAGUAAUGCCUAGGAAUCUGCCUGGUAGUGGGGGACAACGUCUCGAAAGGGACGCUAAUACCGCAUACGUCCUACGGGAGAAAGCAGGGGACCUUCGGGCCUUGCGCUAUCAGAUGAGCCUAGGUCGGAUUAGCUAGUUGGUGAGGUAAUGGCUCACCAAGGCGACGAUCCGUAACUGGUCUGAGAGGAUGAUCAGUCACACUGGAACUGAGACACGGUCCAGACUCCUACGGGAGGCAGCAGUGGGGAAUAUUGGACAAUGGGCGAAAGCCUGAUCCAGCCAUGCCGCGUGUGUGAAGAAGGUCUUCGGAUUGUAAAGCACUUUAAGUUGGGAGGAAGGGCAUUAACCUAAUACGUUGGUGUUUUGACGUUACCGACAGAAUAAGCACCGGCUAACUCUGUGCCAGCAGCCGCGGUAAUACAGAGGGUGCAAGCGUUAAUCGGAUUACUGGGCGUAAAGCGCGCGUAGGUGGUUUGUUAAGUUGGAUGUGAAUCCCGGCUCA
This 576-nucleotide ribosomal RNA is filed under the name Pseudomonas sp. Z3S-42. RNAcentral describes it as "bacterial SSU rRNA". It matches the Rfam family "Bacterial small subunit ribosomal RNA", at positions 36 to 611 of the family's 1533-position model. The record is from RNAcentral. Lineage: Bacteria; Pseudomonadati; Pseudomonadota; Gammaproteobacteria; Pseudomonadales; Pseudomonadaceae.